This 466-nucleotide ribosomal RNA is filed under the name uncultured bacterium. Its description in RNAcentral is "partial 16S ribosomal RNA". It matches the Rfam family "Bacterial small subunit ribosomal RNA", at positions 28 to 505 of the family's 1533-position model. The record is from RNAcentral.
GACGAACGCUGGCGGCGUGCUUAACACAUGCAAGUCGAACGGAAAGGCCCUGCUUUUGUGGGGUGCUCGAGUGGCGAACGGGUGAGUAACACGUGAGUAACCUGCCCUUGACUUUGGGAUAACUUCAGGAAACUGGGGCUAAUACCGGAUAGGAGCUCCUGCUGCAUGGUGGGGGUUGGAAAGUUUCGGCGGUUGGGGAUGGACUCGCGGCUUAUCAGCUUGUUGGUGGGGUAGUGGCUUACCAAGGCUUUGACGGGUAGCCGGCCUGAGAGGGUGACCGGCCACAUUGGGACUGAGAUACGGCCCAGACUCCUACGAGAGGCAGCAGUGGGGAAUAUUGCACAAUGGGCGGAAGCCUGAUGCAGCAACGCCGCGUGCGGGAUGACGGCCUUCGGGUUGUAAACCGCUUUCGCCUGUGACGAAGCGUGAGUGACGGUAAUGGGUAAAGAAGCACCGGCUAACUACG